Molecule: long non-coding RNA, 1606 nt
Organism: Musa acuminata AAA Group (dessert banana)
Lineage: Eukaryota; Viridiplantae; Streptophyta; Magnoliopsida; Zingiberales; Musaceae
Exons: 4
Source: RefSeq, a predicted model, not a curated record
AUAUAACGCGGCUUGUAUAAACGAUGUUCCGUUUCCGAUCGUCACUCCGGAGGAGGCAAGAGACUGAUCGGGAAUACUCUACUUUUUCUUGCUCGAUUCUGCGGAUCAGAUCAUCGCUGGCCCCCAAGCCUGUGACGAGCUCCUCGUCCGAUCUCGUUGUAUGUAGUCUUCACUGCGUUUUUGAUGCUCUCCGUUGGACUGUUCACGGGCAUGUUGCAUGGAAAAACAUAUAUGAGCUGGUGCAUGGCUUGAUGAGAUCUGGUGCGGACUAGUUUCUACAGAAGAAAACAUUUGUAUGCUGUAAUUUUGAGAUUGAGGUUGCAGGUAAAUUCUGUGCUUCUGUAUUAUUUCUUUCAUGUGCUACAGGUGGCCAUAGUUUUUCUUGGGAUUAGAAUGUAUGAAGCCAGCAACGUUAGAAGGACCAUCUCUGGGAGAGAUUAAAACCAUGAAAGUUACAGUAGUUGCACCCCAUUUCGAAAUAAUCAUUUAAGCUUCCCUUGAUGAGUGACAUUUUAUACGUCACUGCCCAUUCAUUCUUCACCAUCAGUUUAUCUCUCAUUAAUUCCGGUCCAAAUCUUUUCUCCGGCCGCUUUUUUUUUAUUUUUUUACACUAUUGAACCCAUUCUCAUGCCAAGUCCAUCUUCCAGUGGAAAGACUAAAAGCUAAAAACAGAACACAAACAGCUUCGUGAUUUAUUUGAAUGCCAACCUUUAAUGCAUGGGGAUACCUUCCAAGCUUUCUUGAUGAGGACUAACAGAUUUCGCUGUAUCGGUCGAUCCACAAAACAGCGUCCCUUCCUCGUGAUGUUCAGGAAUGCGGUAAUGAUAUCAGCACAACGGGCCAGCGGGGUUGGCGUACGGGUUGUGGUGCUCAGGAGAUAUGAAGCUGUUUGCUGAAUCGGUCGAGACAUGGUAGCUAUGCUUGCCCCAAACGAAGUCACAGACUACCACGUACACACCACAAAUCGGUGAAUCUAAACCGUCCGUAGUGGUCGUGUGGUUAUGCUCGAGGCGUAUCCUAACUAAAACGUUGCCCACGAAUAGUACCGUCGGAUCGGAAAGUGAACGAAUCAUAAGGGUAGCUCCGAUGAUGAUGAUGCGAUGAGCCCUAGUGCAUGGUAUGAAUCAAGAAGCUUAUUAGACUGUAUAACGAACUCUCCUUUUCCGUCGUUUCCCAUUCAUAUACGACUACUUGUUGCCGCUCUCAUUGGCGAGGACGGAUCAGACGAGGAGAAGGCAAUGGUGGAGGCGGCAGCCAAGAACGGGGAUAGGAAGGCGACAAGGCAUUCCGAUGGGUGACAAGGGACGCGUCCGGUCUCUUCUCUUCUUCGCCUUCUCCCGGAGGGGUUUUGGGGAGCCACACUAUACUUCUCUGUUCCCUCCGUCCUGUUAGGAAUGUAGUCGAGUCAUGCAUAUUUAAUGGAAUUCGAUGCAUGUCCCAUUUGAAUAUCAUAGUUGGGUCAUGCAUAUAUAGAUGUAGAAGUCUGUGGUUGUGUGAAUGCAAUUCAGUUCAACUUGAUAAAUAGAAGUAUAAGUCAUGAAAUAUUUGCUUGGAGUUCUACUUGGAGUACAUGAACACUAAGGGAGGCCUUUGUUCUCGAUCCGAA